RNAcentral lists this transfer RNA (72 nucleotides) under Sardinella longiceps (Indian oil sardine). RNAcentral's name for it is "tRNA-Trp". It matches the Rfam family "tRNA". From Rfam's summary of the family: Transfer RNA (tRNA) molecules are approximately 80 nucleotides in length. Their secondary structure includes four short double-helical elements and three loops (D, anti-codon, and T loops). Further hydrogen bonds mediate the characteristic L-shaped molecular structure. tRNAs have two regions of fundamental functional importance: the anti-codon, which is responsible for specific mRNA codon recognition, and the 3' end, to which the tRNAs corresponding amino acid is attached (by aminoacyl-tRNA synthetases). tRNAs cope with the degeneracy of the genetic code in two manners: having more than one tRNA (with a specific anti-codon) for a particular amino acid; and 'wobble' base-pairing, i.e. permitting non-standard base-pairing at the 3rd anti-codon position. The record is from RNAcentral. Lineage: Eukaryota; Metazoa; Chordata; Actinopteri; Clupeiformes; Clupeidae.
AAGGGCUUAGGAUAGCAUGUAGACCGAGAGCCUUCAAAGCUCCAAGCAGGAGUGAAAAUCUCCUAGCCCUUG